Long non-coding RNA from Coregonus clupeaformis (lake whitefish), 260 nucleotides. RefSeq lists it as uncharacterized. The transcript has 3 exons. Lineage: Eukaryota; Metazoa; Chordata; Actinopteri; Salmoniformes; Salmonidae. The record is from RefSeq and is a predicted model, not a curated record.
CUGACACCCCAGCAGCUCUACAGACUGGCUGUGGUGCUGCAGCUGAUGAAGGCUGAGGACCAGGAGAACACAGAUCCAUUUUCCAAUGAUCUGAUCACACUGAAGGAGACACAGCAGAUGCUUAAAAGCAGUGACACCGUGUCCAACAAGGGAGAGAAUUCUCCCGUCCCUGUCCCCCCUCCCUCCUCUACCACAGUACCUGAUGUGUCCCCUAACCUGGCCCCUGCUGCCACUAGUCCCACCCUCACAGCACCUAGAGG